RNAcentral lists this long non-coding RNA (3350 nucleotides) under Sus scrofa (pig). Its description in RNAcentral is "lncRNA (ENSSSCG00050036884.1)". The record is from RNAcentral. Lineage: Eukaryota; Metazoa; Chordata; Mammalia; Artiodactyla; Suidae.
UUUUUUUUUUUUUGCUAAUAAAAGGCAUGGGGUUCAUUGUACUCAUUUUGUCUUCUCACCCGACCCUUCUUCUGGCACUAGCACCUACUGAGCUUGGUUGGAGAGUUCCUUAGAAUGUCCCUUGACUAAUAAGGUGGAGGCUUGGCCAUGCCUCAUAAGCUAUGGAAGGAAUGAUGGACAAGGCUUUUAAAAUCUGCCCGGCUCCUGUUUCCUAUGCCAUCCGUCAUGAAUUGUGAGCGAGUUGUUUCUGUUUGUAAAAUAGGAGCAGAGAUGAGGUCGUGACAGACGCAGCUUUGGUAAAAGGCGCUUCAGCUUUCUGAUGGACGAGAACAUCUCGUGGCUUCUCUUUGCUGGGGGCAGAUUCCUUCAACACUUUUUUUUUUCUCUCCCCAUUUUGCUUUAAGCUGAAUCUGCCAAAGGAAAUGCCUGAGAUUCAAAGUCCAAGUUAACAACAAAUGAAUGCUUUUAAGUGGCGUGUCAUUGUGGUUUUUUUCUUCAGAUUAUUUGGGGAAACUUAAUUUUAUUAACUAGGAGAGAACUAAAUGGAGGAAAUAGCCCACAAAUAAUGUUCCCUGACCCAGGUCCCAGGAUUCUAGUGCAUGUUGGUGCCCACUUUAAUGAACUGUUUGUAUUUGACAAGCACUCUUGUGUUGGAGGCAAAAUAAGUGCCUGUUCCCCCCAAAUGUCCACAUCCUAAUCGCGCAGAGUCUGUGAAUGUUGUUUGACAUGACAAGAGGCACUUUGCAGAUAUGAUUAAGGGCACAGACCUGGAGGUGGAGAGGUCUUCUUUGGAUUAUCUGAGUGGAUCCAACCUACUCACCUGAGUCCUUAAAAUCGGAGGACUUUUCCUGGCUGUGGUGAGAAAGAAAGAAAGAAUGGCCCGAGAAGGAUCUGAUGCCCCACCACUGGUCCUGAGAUACAGGGGCUGUGUGCCAGGAGCUGAGUUCUGCCAACAGCCUCACUCAGUGAGAGAAUGACCUUCUCUGAGAGCCUCUAGAAAGGAGGCUAACUCUGCCAAUGUUUUGAUUUUAGCCUGGUGAGACCCGAAUUCUGACCAACAGAACUGUAAGGUAAUGCAGGUGUAUCGCAUUAAACCACAGAGUUUGAGGUUCUUUGUUAUAGCAGCAACAGCAAACUAAUACAUCUCAGUUUCUCUGGUGUAGAGUUUUCCUAAUAACGAGGAACCAAUCAGGAAGGGCUGAAUCAUUUCCUUUCAAAAUCAAAAGCUCUGGCUCCAGUGUUUCAGUGGAUUCCAGCUUGUGGUCCUGCGUUGCUUGGAUGUCGGAAGACUUGUGAUCAACAGCUAAGAGGAUGUGAAUGAAUAUUAAUGGAGCAUCCUCCAAGUUCCAGGGAUACUGAUUAUCCUGCUUUACCGUUAAUCCUACUAACCUGUGAGGUCAAUCAUAUCAUAUUUUACAGACCAGAAACUGUUUCUGAGAGGUUAACAGCAACUUUUCUGAGCUUAAGGAAGUAGCAAGUGACAGCGAAGUUGUGAACCUCCAGAAAAUACGUUCUUUCUAUUUUCCGCCCUAUGCUUGCCUCCUUCUUAGCAAGCCUCGGGAGUCAGGAAAUCAAGUGUCGUGGCUGAGUCUCCCAUCACAGUAAACAAGAGAAUAGAAUCACUUGUUUCUUUGGUUGAGAAAACAUUGCUGAAGAUGAGGGACAUUGCCCCUGACCUUUUUUUUUAAACCCACAGUGGGACAGGGUCGGGGGGGGGUGUCCCCAGACAGACUGGCUUAUCUCUUAGUCUCUACUCAAGUUCUCAUCUGUGUACUUGACUUUGCUCAUUGCUCAUCAGCAAGGCCUGUGGCUCACAGAAAAUGCACCCGGUUUCUUAGCCAGGGAAUCAGGUUGAUAUUUAAGACGAAAGAGGAUUGCAAAAAGAAAAGAUUGUUUAUUUUAAAUGGUCACUUGGGACUGGCUUUGCAGAUCCUACCGCUUUAAGCCAGAUUUUGGUUCGAUUGCUGGCAGUGCUGGUUGGAUUAGACGUGUGCAACAUGCUCCUGAGACCCCAAGAUCCUCUGCCAGCCAUUAAACGGUCCUGCAGGUCGUAGGGGGGAACGCUGACUAUCAGCUCACGAAGCCCAGCCCCACCCCUGUGCUGGGAGACGGCUUCCUUACACCCAGCCUCUAGACAGGAUUUGUUUAAUGGGUGGUUUUAAAGCACUUCCUCUGCCACAUUAAGUCACGAGGGUCAAAAAUACUACCUGCUUCCGAGGAGCAUCUAGUUAGAGGGAGGGAGGGGGCUGUUUGAAAAAGACCAAUAGGGAGUUCCUGUCAUGGUGCAGUGGAAACGAAUUCAACUAGGAACCAUGAGGUUGUGGGUUCGAUCCCUGGCCUCGCUUAGUGGGUUAAGGAUCCAGCGUUGCUCUGAGCCGUGGUGGAGGUCGCAGAUUCAGCUUGGAUCUGGCGUUGCUGUGGCUCUGGUGUAGGCCGGUGGCAACAGCUCCCAAUAGACCCCUAGCCUGGGGACCUCCAUAUGCCAUGGGUGUGGCCCUAAAAAGACAAAAAAAAAGGAACCAACAGGUUUCAGUAAACAGAUAGUCCUGUGCUCCACAGGUGAGGAGGAGACUCGAAGGUCACCCAGCGCAUGCCCAGGUUUGGGGGAGGCAGGCAAAGUCGGUGGCCUGUGUUUGCUCAUGGGUUGGUCCAGGAGGAUCCCUACAGCAGCACCCUGCGAGGCUUGAGAAUCAGGUCCUUAGACCCUGAGGGCUACAGCUCAGUGUGUGCGCCUGGCUAGACCCCUCUGGGGGGUGAAACUGGCACCUCUGAUCCCCCACCGCCACCCCAGGAUGUCGAAUGCCAGCUUAGACCAUGAGCUCUUCUGAAUUGCCUUCUCAGCAGCUGGAGCAUGCUUCUAGAAACUUCUCUUCUGUCAGCUGCUGGAAAUCUGUCCUAGAUGCUCCUUCCCCUAGCUGCUGGCUGGGGCCAGUGCCCAACCUCUCUGUUUUCUGUUGGAUUGAUGUCUUUGUGUUAUUUCCCGCAGCUUGUAAGUUGCUCUUGAGACUCCAAGCUCUCCUCUCCUAUCCCGUUCUGCCUCUGGGUCAGCUUCUGUCCCCCCAUCCUCCCAUCCCAGGCUUCUCGCCGCCUCGCUGGUGGCUCAGUUCCAUUCAAGUCCCAGAGCGUCUCAUUUGGGAGUUGGAACAGCAACAGAUCGGACCCUGGAUUCAGCCCUGUGGGGCCUCCUUGAUUUAUACCCAUCGGGUUUAUAACUCCCCUUCGAGGCUUUAACUUCGACCCUAGAGCCCGGCCAACACAAUGCCCAGCUCUGCAACUUGGCACAGAAACUGCAGCCUAGGAUAGAAGAAAAUCCUUACUGAGAUUAAAAAAAAAAAAAAGAAAAAGAAAAA